RNAcentral lists this transfer RNA (72 nucleotides) under Camelus bactrianus (Bactrian camel). It matches the Rfam family "tRNA". From Rfam's summary of the family: Transfer RNA (tRNA) molecules are approximately 80 nucleotides in length. Their secondary structure includes four short double-helical elements and three loops (D, anti-codon, and T loops). Lineage: Eukaryota; Metazoa; Chordata; Mammalia; Artiodactyla; Camelidae. The record is from Rfam by way of RNAcentral. RNAcentral also lists the same sequence under 2 other names.
GAGGGUAUAGCUCAGUGGUAGAGCACAUGUUUAGCAUGCACGAGGUCCUGGGUUCAAUCCCCAGUCCCUCCA